This 305-nucleotide ribosomal RNA is filed under the name uncultured bacterium. RNAcentral describes it as "bacterial SSU rRNA". It matches the Rfam family "Bacterial small subunit ribosomal RNA", at positions 333 to 656 of the family's 1533-position model. The record is from RNAcentral.
UUAAUCCUACGGGGCGCAGCAGUAGGGAAUCUUCCACAAUGGGCGAAAGCCUGAUGCAGCAACGCCGCGUGAGCGAUGAAGGCCUUCGGGUCGUAAAGCUCUGUCCUCAAGGAAGAUAAUGACGGUACUUGAGGAGGAAGCCCCGGCUAACUACGUGCCAGCAGCCGCGGUAAUACGUAGGGGGCUAGCGUUAUCCGGAAUUACUGGGCGUAAAGGGUGCGUAGGUGGUUUCUUAAGUCAGAGGUGAAAGGCUACGGAUCAACCGUAGUAAGCCUUUGAAACUGGGGAACUUGAGUGCAGGAGAG